GUCUGGGUAGUUAAGAUAGAAUAAUAAUUUGUGGUGUUAUAGGCGAAUUUAUUUCCUCAGAUC
RNAcentral lists this transfer RNA (63 nucleotides) under Pilophorus typicus. Its description in RNAcentral is "tRNA-His". The record is from RNAcentral. Lineage: Eukaryota; Metazoa; Arthropoda; Insecta; Hemiptera; Miridae.